UCUCAAUAUGCAUCCCCUGUACCGUAUAUUUUCUCUUUUGUCUCUAAAAUCCUUUACUCAAUCCAUCUUCUUCUCCCUGAAGUGGUUCUUCGAUUCCUUUUAUUGAAUAAUGAUUUUCUUCGAAAAAUUAAAAUGAAAAUAUCCUUGCUUCUCAUGAUGCAACCAUUACCCGCAAAAUACCAUUUUACAUUGUUCCAUAUUCUAGAAAUAUUUCCAAUUUGAAUUUGCAGCACCAUUACACAAGAACCUUAACUAUUCCUCGUCUAAGUUCUCUGAUCAAUUGGAUCAAUGAUUCUUAAACUUAAUUGACAUAUUAUUCUUCCUAAUAUGCCAUGAUUAAAACAUCUUCCAAGUCGGUCAUUAAAAGCCGAAUUUGUAGUAGUGGCAAAGAACAAGGGAAAGGGGUAGAGGCAGAAAAAACAUAUGAUGUAGUGGAUACAUUGUAAGAUAUGAUGGUCAUCCAAAAUCUAAUGGUUCAUAUAAAAUUAAAUAUUUGGUCUUUUGUGGAUCACCUUUUUUG
RNAcentral lists this long non-coding RNA (520 nucleotides) under Cicer arietinum (chickpea). RNAcentral describes it as "long non-coding RNA (CARI_LNC001328)". Lineage: Eukaryota; Viridiplantae; Streptophyta; Magnoliopsida; Fabales; Fabaceae. The record is from RNAcentral.